GAUGAACGCUAGCCACAGGCUUAACACAUGCAAGUCGCGGGGCAGCAUGGGGGUUGCUUGCAAUCCCCGAUGGCGACCGGCGCACGGGUGAGUAACGCGUAUCCAACCUGCCCUUCACCACGGGAUAACCCGGCGAAAGUCGGACUAAUACCGUAUGUUGUCCAUUGACGGCAUCCGAUUUGGACGAAAGGUUUGGCGGUGAAGGAUGGGGAUGCGUCCGAUUAGCUGGACGGCGGGGUGACGGCCCACCGUGGCGACGAUCGGUAGGGGUUCUGAGAGGAAGGUCCCCCACACUGGAACUGAGACACGGUCCAGACUCCUACGGGAGGCAGCAGUGAGGAAUAUUGGUCAAUGGGCGUAAGCCUGAACCAGCCAAGUAGCGUGCAGGAUGACGGCCCUAUGGGUUGUAAACUGCUUUUAUGCGGGGAUAAAGUGGCCCACGUGUGGGUUUUUGCAGGUACCGCAUGAAUAAGGACCGGCUAAUUCCGUG
This 490-nucleotide ribosomal RNA is filed under the name uncultured bacterium. Its description in RNAcentral is "partial 16S ribosomal RNA". It matches the Rfam family "Bacterial small subunit ribosomal RNA", at positions 28 to 507 of the family's 1533-position model. The record is from RNAcentral.